Oryza sativa Japonica Group (Japanese rice) is the source of this 3059-nucleotide RNA transcript. It is a transcript of the gene named probable leucine-rich repeat receptor-like protein kinase At1g35710, with no coding region annotated. The record is from RefSeq and is a predicted model, not a curated record. Lineage: Eukaryota; Viridiplantae; Streptophyta; Magnoliopsida; Poales; Poaceae.
UCAAUAUGUACUAUGUGUGUUUUAGAGCUUCACCUACACUGCCACUCAAAACACAAGAUGAGACGACUAGUUGCCUCACAGGAGCUAUUGCUGGUUCUGCUGAUUUCGCUGCAGUGUCUUUCCUGCCUUGCAAUUGCAAAUCCUGCGUUGGAUCGCCAAGCUGAAGCACUUCUCCAAUGGAAAUCUGGUCUAAGGGGCGAUCUCUCCUACUGCGGGCUAGAGGAAUGGAGCAACGCAACCAGCCCAUGCAACUGGUCAGGCAUAUACUGCAGCUACAAGGUGCGCCGUGGCCAUGAGCGUGAUGCCAUCCUAGUUGUGACAAACAUUACACUUUUCUCAUGUAACAUCUCCGGUGGUUUGAGCAAGCUCCGAUUUGCACAAUUGCCUCAUCUUGUCUUUCUCGACCUUAGCAUUAACUCUCUCUAUGGACCAAUUCCGUCUGAUAUUGGUCGUCUUGCUGAGCUCUCGUACUUGGAUCUCUCUAACAAUAAGCUCACUGGAUCCAUCCCGCCAUCGAUAGGUAAUCUUACGAACCUAGGAUUCCUUGAGCUUUCUAACAAUUAUUUGUCACAAGGGAUACUCAGUUGCUUGCCUGACACAUUACAUAACUUGCAGUACCUUGAUUUAAGCCACAACAGCUUAACUGGCCCAAUACCUUCCAGUUUGGGAAACCUGGCUAGAUUGUAUUUUCUAGAUCUUGGAUUUAACAAUCUUUUUGGUCAUAUUCCACGUGAGAUAGGGAUGCUUCAUAGUUUAGUUGCGCUAGAUCUGGAUCAUAAUAAUAUCAAUGGCUCCAUACCUACAACCAUAGGGAAUCUAACAAGUUUAAAGUCCUUGGAUCUCUCCACAAAUGAAAUCACGGGUUUUAUUCCUGAAAGUAUAGGAAAUUUGAGUUUAAUAGAAUUGUAUCUCUCCAUAAAUGAAAUCACGGGUUUCAUUCCUGAAAGUAUAGGAAAUUUAAGGAGUUUAAUAAAAUUGUAUCUCUCCACAAAUGAAAUCACGGGUUCCAUUCCUGAAAGUAUAGGAAAUCUAACGAGCUUACAAAACAUGGAUCUUUCCAACAACCGAAUCAUUGGCCCCAUCCCUUCAACCUUUUCGAAACUUAUAUCUUUAAUAACACUGAAACUUGAGUCCAAUGUGCUAAAUGCUAUACUGCCACCAGAACUAGGAUUUCUACGUAAUCUUUUUGUUCUAGAUCUAAGCAGCAAUCAGUUUACGGGAAGCAUUCCACCUCAGAUAGGACAGUUUCACCAUUUGUCCUUGUUGCGCCUGCGAAACAACUUACUGACAGGACCAAUACCAGAAGAGCUUGGGUAUUGUACCGACCUAACUGAGUUGGAUUUGAGCAGAAAUAAUUUAAGUGGUGCCAUACCAAUGACUUUCAUGAUGCUUUACCGAUUACUUGAGCUGAAUUUAUCAUACAACAGUUUGGGCGGCAGAUUUUUUGGUUUCUACACAACUGAAGCCUCUUCUGUAGUUUCACUAGACCAUAAUACAGGUAUCUGUGGUGAUCCAUUAUAUGGCUUGACACCAUGUCAACCAUCAAAUCCAAAUCCUGACAGUUUACAUACAAAUGAAAAUUCCGACAGUAAACAUCUUGUUCCGAGGCUACUUCUUGCCUUUGCAAUGUUUUCUUGCAUCUGGCUCGUGGGUGGAAGCAUCACAGUGGUUUGUUGGAGAAGAAAACUUGCAAAAAAGGGCAAAGAAAUCAUCCCUGGAGACUUCGUUUCCAUAUGGAACUUUGAUGCAAAGGUUGCGUUUCAAGAUGCACUUUACGCAACAGAAAAUUUUGAUGAAAAAUACUGCAUCGGUGUUGGAAGUUAUGGAUCUGUCUUAGAGCUGAGAUCCAAGGAAAAGGUGUAUUUGCCAUCAAGCUGCUUCACAGAAUGGAAGAUUACUUUGACAUUGGAGCAUUUCUUGCUGAGAUUGAAGUGUUGACAAAAAUCAGGCACCGUCGCAUUGUCAAGUUGCACGGUUACUGCUCUCAUUCACAGUGCAAAUUUCUUGUAUACGAUCUCAUCGAAAGAGGAAGUUUAGCGUCCAUUUGGAAUGACCAAGAAUUGGCAAAGGAACUUGAUUGGUGUAAAAGAGUCACUAUUGUGAUGGACAUAGCUCAAGCUCUCUCUUACUUGCACCAUGAUUGUGAUGAUCCGAUCGUGCACCGCGAUAUUAAAAGUAGCAACAUCUUGCUAGACCAUGAUUUUAAGGCUUAUUUAUCCGACUUCGGCAUGGCAAAGAAGUUGAAGGACAAUUCAUCUAGCUGGAGCACUAUCUUUGCAGGGACAUGUGGCUACAUAGCCCCAGAACUGUCAUCUACAAUGGUGUUAACGGAGAAGUGCGAUGUGUAUAGCUUUGGUGUGGUUAUGCUGGAAGUGGUGAUGGGAAAACAUCCUGGAGAUCUUCUGCUACCGUUCUUUUGCCGAACAGAACAACAUACAAAGCUCAAGGAUAUCCUGGACCAACGCAUCAUGGCGCCGACCACCGAAGAGAAGGAUAUCAUCCUGCUUGUUCUGGUGGCUUUUGCUUGCCUGCAAAUCUGCCCAAAAUCCCGGCCAACAAUGCAGCAGGUUUGUCAAGCAAUGACAACUAGAAGUUUACCUGCUCCUAUCCUGAAGCCCCUUGAUGAGAUCAAAUUGCAGCAUUUCCAUGAUUUUUGUGGAACUAUACAGAAUAUAUGAUGAAAUUUACAUCAUAAGGGGCGCAUUUUGCAUUAAAAAAAAAGAGAAGCCCCUUAAUGAGAUCAAACUGCAGCAUUUCCAUGAUUUUUGUGGAACCAUACAGAAUAUAUGAUGAAAUUUACUUCAUAAGGGGCGCAUUUUGCAUUAAAAAAAGAGAGAGGAUAUGUUCAUGUAAGCUACACAAAGCAUCUGAAGUUGAAGUUACAACGGCUACUGGCUUCAGGGACACUCCCUUUUUAGGCUUGCUUCUAUCUGAGAGAUCAUUUUACAUGCAGUGUAGUUCUUUGAUUGUUUUUCUACGUCGAACAAAAUUAUUUAUUUUUUGCCUGAACAUGUACACUUUUUUUUUUGGACAUGUCAAUCGUGUGAUGUUUGUCUCCA